Molecule: ribosomal RNA, 512 nt
Filed under: uncultured bacterium
Lineage: Bacteria
Description: bacterial SSU rRNA
Rfam family: Bacterial small subunit ribosomal RNA
Source: RNAcentral
GAUGAACGCUAGCGGGAGGCUUAACACAUGCAAGUCGAGGGGCAGCAUAGGGUAGCAAUACUCUGAUGGCGACCGGCAAACGGGUGAGUAACGCGUAUGCAACCUACCCUGUACAGGGGGAUAACCCGGAGAAAUUCGGACUAAUAUCCCGUAAUAAUAUCCGGAGGCAUCUUUGGAUAUUUAAAGUUCCGACGGUACGGGAUGGGCAUGCGUAACAUUAGCUGGUUGGUAAGGUAACGGCUUACCAAGGCUAUGAUGUUUAGGGGUCCUGAGAGGGUGGUCCCUCACACUGGUACUGAGACACGGUACCAGACUCCUACGGGAGGCAGCAGUGAGGAAUAUUGGGUCAAUGGGCGCAAGCCUGAACCAGCCAUCCCGCGUGCAGGAAGACGGCCCUAUGGGCUGUAAACUGCUUUUCCUAGGGAGAGAAACUUACGCACGUGUUGCGUGACUGACGGUACCCUGGGAAUAAGCAUCGGCUAACUCCGUGCCAGCAGCCGCGGUAAAAGUGU